RNAcentral lists this ribosomal RNA (429 nucleotides) under Chloroflexota bacterium. RNAcentral describes it as "Chloroflexi bacterium partial 16S ribosomal RNA". It matches the Rfam family "Bacterial small subunit ribosomal RNA", at positions 355 to 776 of the family's 1533-position model. Lineage: Bacteria; Bacillati; Chloroflexota. The record is from RNAcentral.
UGGGGAAUAUUGCACAAUGGGCGCAAGCCUGAUGCAGCCAUGCCGCGUGUAUGAACAAGGCCUUCGGGUUGUAAAGUACUUUCAGCGGGGAGGAAGGGAGUAAAGUUAAUACCUUUGCUCAUUGACGUUACCCGCAGAAGAAGCACCGGCUAACUCCGUGCCAGCAGCCGCGGUAAUACGGAGGGUGCAAGCGUUAAUCGGAAUUACUGGGCGUAAAGCGCACGCAGGCGGUUUGUUAAGUCAGAUGUGAAAUCCCCGGGCUCAACCUGGGAACUGCAUCUGAUACUGGCAAGCUUGAGUCUCGUAGAGGGGGGUAGAAUUCCAGGUGUAGCGGUGAAAUGCGUAGAGAUCUGGAGGAAUACCGGUGGCGAAGGCGGCCCCCUGGACGAAGACUGACGCUCAGGUGCGAAAGCGUGGGGAGCAAACAGG